Molecule: ribosomal RNA, 1150 nt
Filed under: Pediococcus pentosaceus
Lineage: Bacteria; Bacillati; Bacillota; Bacilli; Lactobacillales; Lactobacillaceae
Description: bacterial SSU rRNA
Rfam family: Bacterial small subunit ribosomal RNA
Source: RNAcentral
UACGGGAGGCCACCAGUAGGGAAUUUUUCCCACAAUGGACCCCAAGUUCUGAUGGAGCAACCCCCGCGUGAAUGAAGAAAGGGUUUCGGCUCGUAAAGCUCUGUUGUUAAAGAAGAACGUGGGUAAGAGUAACUGUUUACCCAGUGACGGUAUUUAACCAGAAAGCCACGGCUAACUACGUGCCAGCAGCCGCGGUAAUACGUAGGUGGCAAGCGUUAUCCGGAUUUAUUGGGCGUAAAGCGAGCGCAGGCGGUCUUUUAAGUCUAAUGUGAAAGCCUUCGGCUCAACCGAAGAAGUGCAUUGGAAACUGGGAGACUUGAGUGCAGAAGAGGACAGUGGAACUCCAUGUGUAGCGGUGAAAUGCGUAGAUAUAUGGAAGAACACCAGUGGCGAAGGCGGCUGUCUGGUCUGCAACUGACGCUGAGGCUCGAAAGCAUGGGUAGCGAACAGGAUUAGAUACCCUGGUAGUCCAUGCCGUAAACGAUGAUUACUAAGUGUUGGAGGGUUUCCGCCCUUCAGUGCUGCAGCUAACGCAUUAAGUAAUCCGCCUGGGGAGUACGACCGCAAGGUUGAAACUCAAAAGAAUUGACGGGGGCCCGCACAAGCGGUGGAGCAUGUGGUUUAAUUCGAAGCUACGCGAAGAACCUUACCAGGUCUUGACAUCUUCUGACAGUCUAAGAGAUUAGAGGUUCCCUUCGGGGACAGAAUGACAGGUGGUGCAUGGUUGUCGUCAGCUCGUGUCGUGAGAUGUUGGGUUAAGUCCCGCAACGAGCGCAACCCUUAUUACUAGUUGCCAGCAUUAAGUUGGGCACUCUAGUGAGACUGCCGGUGACAAACCGGAGGAAGGUGGGGACGACGUCAAAUCAUCAUGCCCCUUAUGACCUGGGCUACACACGUGCUACAAUGGAUGGUACAACGAGUCGCGAGACCGCGAGGUUAAGCUAAUCUCUUAAAACCAUUCUCAGUUCGGACUGUAGGCUGCAACUCGCCUACACGAAGUCGGAAUCGCUAGUAAUCGCGGAUCAGCAUGCCGCGGUGAAUACGUUCCCGGGCCUUGUACACACCGCCCGUCACACCAUGAGAGUUUGUAACACCCAAAGCCGGUGGGGUAACCUUUAGGAGCUAGCCGUCUAAGGUGACAGAGAAUUGU